This 364-nucleotide ribosomal RNA is filed under the name uncultured bacterium. Its description in RNAcentral is "bacterial SSU rRNA". It matches the Rfam family "Bacterial small subunit ribosomal RNA", at positions 28 to 417 of the family's 1533-position model. The record is from RNAcentral.
GAUGAACGCUGGCGGUAUGCCUAACACAUGCAAGUCGUACGAGAGUUUUUAACUCUAGUGGCGGACGGGUGAGUAACACGUGAGAAUUUGCCUUUAGGAGGGGGAUAACAAUUGGAAACGAAUGCUAAUACCCCAUAUGCUUUUGAGUGAAACGGAUUUAUCCGCCUAGAGAGAAGCUCGCGGCUGAUUAGCUUGUUGGUAAGGUAAGAGCUUACCAAGGCGACGAUCAGUAUCUGGUUUGAGAGGACGAUCAGACACACUGGAACUGAGACACGGUCCAGACUCCUACGGGAGGCAGCAGUGGGGAAUUUUCCGCAAUGGGCGAAAGCCUGACGGAGCAAUACCGCGUGAGGGAGAAUGCCUA